CAGCAGCCGCGGGAAUACGUAGGGCGCAAGCGUUGUCCGGAAUUAUUGGGCGUAAAGAGCUCGUAGGCGGUCUGUCGCGUCUGGUGUGAAAUCCCGAGGCUCAACCUCGGGCUUGCAUCGGGUACGGGCAGACUAGAGUGCGGUAGGGGAGACUGGAAUUCCUGGUGUAGCGGUGGAAUGCGCAGAUAUCAGGAGGAACACCGAUGGCGAAGGCAGGUCUCUGGGCCGCAACUGACGCUGAGGAGCGAAAGCAUGGGGAGCGAACAGGAUUAGAGACCCCUGUAGUCCCUGUCACUUAUAA
RNAcentral lists this ribosomal RNA (301 nucleotides) under uncultured bacterium. Its description in RNAcentral is "partial 16S ribosomal RNA". It matches the Rfam family "Bacterial small subunit ribosomal RNA", at positions 509 to 809 of the family's 1533-position model. The record is from RNAcentral.